This 423-nucleotide ribosomal RNA is filed under the name uncultured bacterium. RNAcentral's name for it is "bacterial SSU rRNA". It matches the Rfam family "Bacterial small subunit ribosomal RNA", at positions 207 to 622 of the family's 1533-position model. The record is from RNAcentral.
AAGACCUUGCGCUUUUGGAGCGGCCGAUGUCUGAUUAGCUUGUUGGUGAGGUAAAGGCUUACCAAGGCUUCGAUCAGUAGCUGGUCUGAGAGGACGGCCAGCCACACUGGGACUGAGACACGGCCCAGACUCCUACGGGAGGCAGCAGUGGGGAAUUUUGGACAAUGGGGGCAACCCUGAUCCAGCCAUGCCGCGUGAGUGAAGAAGGCCUUCGGGUUGUAAAGCUCUUUCAGCCGGAACGAAACGGUUACGGUUAAUACCCGUGACUACUGACGGUACCGGAAGAAGAAGCACCGGCUAACUACGUGCCAGCAGCCGCGGUAAUACGUAGGGUGCAAGCGUUAAUCGGAAUUACUGGGCGUAAAGCGUGCGCAGGUGGUUUUGUAAGUCAGAUGUGAAAGCCCCGGGCUCAACCUGGGAACU